UCAAAAACUGAACACGCUCCCACCCUUCUUUCCCUUUCCUCUUCUUCCUUCACUCUGAUUGGAUCUCCUUCCUUCCUGCUUUGAAAGAAUCUCCCAAACAAGCCGAAGUUGGGCGCAAGUGAGGUUUUGAAUCACCACCAAUGAUUCUUCACCUCUGCCCUUUUCUUCUUAUGGCUCUAUUAGAGUUUUUGAAAUUCAAGUCUGCCACCAUAUCCCUGUUCUCUCUCUCUAUUAAGUAAAGAUAUUGAUGAGCUAGAGGGAGGGUGGCUAUGGAGUUUCGAGACACCUAACUGGCGAUGGCAGCAAAGAGGUGACCAUGGUUCAAUGAGCGACAUGGUGGUGUUUUGUGGCCCGACGGAGUGCACCAUUCAAUCUGCCUCAUUCUCUGCUGAUUCUUCUCUCCCGCACACACAAAAUUGAAGUUAUGGCGAUGGUGAUGAAGAUGAGGAAGGAGAUCUUGAUGCAAAAGGAAUUAAUGGACAGAGCCAUGGAGAGAAAAAGACCAACAAUCUGUCAUACAACUCAAACCAAAAAUCCAUGGAGUUUCUUGCUUAAUAUGUGAGAUCUAGAAGCUGAGAUUAUCGCGUUAUCUCCAACAUCAUUAAUAUGUGAGAUUUGCUAAUAAGGGUUUUCAAAGGGACCAGAAUUUGCAGCUUCAUAGAAGAGGACACAACUUGCCAUGGAAACUUGAGCAAAGAAACAAGAAUGAAGUGUUGAAGAAGAGAGUGUACAUAUGUCCAGAGAAAAGCUAUGUUCAUCAUGACCCUUCUCGAGCUCUCGGAGACCUGACCGUAGUUGAGAAGCAUUAUAGUCGGAAACAUGGAGAAAAGAAAUGGAACUGUGAAAAGUGUUCAAAGAAGUAUGCGGUUCAAUCGGAUUAGCAAGAUUUGCGGUACUAGAGAGUACAAAUGC
This 912-nucleotide long non-coding RNA is filed under the name Helianthus annuus (common sunflower). Lineage: Eukaryota; Viridiplantae; Streptophyta; Magnoliopsida; Asterales; Asteraceae. The record is from RNAcentral.